GACGAACGCUGGCGGCGUGCUUAACACAUGCAAGUCGAGCGGAAAGGCCCUUUCGGGGGUACUCGAGCGGCGAACGGGUGAGUAACACGUGAGUAAUCUGCCCUUGGCUUUGGGAUAACCACCGGAAACGGUGGCUAAUACCGGAUAUGACGCGCUACGGCAUCGGGGUGUGUGGAAAGUUUUUUCGGCCAGGGAUGUGCUCGCGGCCUAUCAGCUUGUUGGUGGGGUAAUGGCCUACCAAGGCUUCGACGGGUAGCCGGCCUGAGAGGGUGGCCGGCCACACUGGGACUGAGACACGGCCCAGACUCCUACGGGUGGCAGCAGUGGGGAAUAUUGGACAAUGGGCGGAAGCCUGAUCCAGCAACGCCGCGUGAGGGAUGACGGCCUUCGGGUUGUAAACCUCUUUCAGUACCGACGAAGCGCCGAUGAUGGUGGUGACGGUAGGUACAGAAGAAGCACCGGCCAACUACGUGCCAGCAGCCGCCGUAA
This 489-nucleotide ribosomal RNA is filed under the name uncultured bacterium. RNAcentral describes it as "partial 16S ribosomal RNA". It matches the Rfam family "Bacterial small subunit ribosomal RNA", at positions 28 to 523 of the family's 1533-position model. The record is from RNAcentral.